RNAcentral lists this ribosomal RNA (250 nucleotides) under uncultured bacterium. Its description in RNAcentral is "partial 16S ribosomal RNA". It matches the Rfam family "Bacterial small subunit ribosomal RNA", at positions 524 to 773 of the family's 1533-position model. The record is from RNAcentral.
UACGAAGGGGGCUAGCGUUACUCGGAUUGACUGGGCGUAAAGGGCGCGUAGGCGGUUCGUACAGUUGGGUGUGAAAUUCCUGGGCUCAACCCGGGGGCUGCAUUCAAUACGUGCGGGCUUGAGUUCGGAAGAGGGUCGUGGAAUUCCCAGUGUAGAGGUGAAAUUCGUAGAUAUUGGGAAGAACACCGGUGGCGAAGGCGGCGACCUGGUCCGAUACUGACGCUGAGGCGCGAAAGCGUGGGGAGCAAAC